CGAAGAAGAAACCCAGACCAGUCUUAAAAGAAAGCACAAACCAAAUUCCCUGUACACAUAUACGGACUCAGAGGAUGAGCAGCCUACAAAAAAACGGUUUCCUCAGGCCCCUCGAGUGAAAAUACCAGCCCUCAUCACUCCGCAGUCUGCCCCCCAGCCCACUGAUAGCAACCAUCAUAAUGCCCCACCCAGCUUCCGGCACCUUUCGCCACUCCGGCACAAACCGACACCGCUUUGCGAUCU
This is a long non-coding RNA of Pelmatolapia mariae (spotted tilapia), 243 nucleotides long. RefSeq lists it as uncharacterized. The record is from RefSeq and is a predicted model, not a curated record. Lineage: Eukaryota; Metazoa; Chordata; Actinopteri; Cichliformes; Cichlidae. The transcript is spliced from 3 exons.